This 112-nucleotide ribosomal RNA is filed under the name endosymbiont of Euscepes postfasciatus. Lineage: Bacteria; Pseudomonadati; Pseudomonadota; Gammaproteobacteria. The record is from RNAcentral.
UUUAAUAUUAAUAACGUAAUGGAAACACCUGAUACCAUUCCGAACUCAGAAGUGAAACAUUAUAGUGCCGAUGGUAGUAUAUUUUAUAUGCAAGAGUAGGAAAAUGUUAUUA